CCUACGGGUGGCAGCAGUGAGGAAUAUUGGUCAAUGGGCGCGAGCCUGACCCAGCCAAGUAGCGUGAAGGAUGACUGCCCUACGGGUUGUAAACUUCUUUUAUAGAGGAAUACAGUGAGGCACGUGUGCCUUUUUGUAUGUACUUUAUGCAUAAGGAUCGGCUAACUCCGUGCCAGCAGCCGCGGUAAUACGGAGGGUCCGAGCGUUAUCCGGAUUUAUUGGGUUUAAAGGGAGCGUAGGUGGAUUGGUAAGUCAGUUGUGAAAGUUUGCGGCUCAACCGUAAAAUUGCAGUUGAAACUGGCAGUCUUGAGUACAGUAGAGGUGGGCGGAAUUCGUGGUGUAGCGGUGAAAUGCUUAGAUAUCACGAAGAACUCCGAUGGCGAAGGCAGCUCACUGGACUGCAACUGACACUGAGGCUCGAAAGUGUGGGUAUCAAACAGGAUUAGAUACCCGAGUAGUC
Molecule: ribosomal RNA, 460 nt
Filed under: uncultured bacterium
Lineage: Bacteria
Description: partial 16S ribosomal RNA
Rfam family: Bacterial small subunit ribosomal RNA
Source: RNAcentral